UUCAAUAGAGCACUGAAGUUUUGUAUACAUCAAUACUUUGUUCUUAUUUUCUGCGUUUUACUGGGAAGGAACAAACUUUGCAGGGGCAAAAUAUUGAACAGCACAGAAAAGCCCUGCCAAUUUAAUUGUUCUUUUGCCUUUUUUGCUUGCAACAAUGUUGUUGAUUUUACUGUCUGGCUAUAAGGUUCCGAGCUGUACUCAUAUUGUUUUGCCUUUUGUUUUUAAUUUUUGGACGGAGUUUCAACCAUUAUUUGGAUGGUUACUGGAGCUUUAUAUUUGAAUUAUAUUGGCCGAUUGGGUUGAAGAUUGAUAAUGGUUGAAAAUAAUUAACAAAAAAUAGAAAAUUUUGCGUGUUGUCAAUCAAAAAGAUCUUGAACAAGUUUGCUCUUUUGAAUUUUCUCCUAUUAAGGUAAGAACUCUUAGGGUCAAAAAGUUGGUUUUGUCUGUGCUGAAAGGACGGGAAAAAAAAUUAAUAAAUCAUCUGGAAGUAAUGCGAUUCAGAAAAUACAAUAUAUGGGAAGUAAUUCGACAGUUAUCUUAUAUUUGGCGGGUAUGGAAGCUUUGUAGAGUCAAUGUUAAGAAUUAUGAGAUACAUGUCUGGAUAAUAGAAGGCAGCUUAGAAUGAGGCACAAUGAGUUGGAGGCAUAGAAUCCAGAAUGUCCCUUCUCUUAUGAUAAAAGAAAAGGCAGCUAGGGGAUCAUUGAUCUUUUCUAGACGUAAAUAGUUUUAUCCUCAUCAAAUCUGCACCUAUCAAGUUGAAAAAGUACUUUUGGUUUUUGGAGGAGGUAAGGAAUAAUGACACACUAAUAAUUGUUGGUGAAACAGGCAGCGGAAAGACGACAUAAUUGCCCCAGUAUCUUAAUAAUGGUCGGUUUUGCUGCAAUGGUGGGAUCAUUGGGAUAACUCGGCCUAGACGUGUUGCUGCUGUAACUGUUGUAAAACGGGUCGCUGAAGAAUGUGGAGUUUCAAUGGUCCAAGUAGUUGGAUAUGCCAUUAGAUUUGAGGAUGUGACUUCCAGCUCAACAAGGAUCAAAUACAUGACAGACGGAUUGCUAUUCAGACUGUACAAAAGACGAGGUCUCAACAUGUCAGGGACGCAGUAAAUAUUGAUCAUAAAGAUGCCAACAAUGGCAUGAUGUUGGAAAAACACCAUGGUCUCGAAGUUGCCAGUAUCAGGGAGCAGUGCUGAGGCAAGAAAUUAUCUCCACUGAAGAUUAUUAUUAUGUCUGCCAGUCUGGAUGCACGGGUUUUCCUGAGUACUUUGGUGGUGCAAGAGCUGUGCACGUGCAGGGUGGCAAGAUCCUGUUGAUAUACUCUAUACUCGUAAACCUGAGACUGAUUAUGUGGAUGCAACUUUGAUCACCAUAUUUCAGAUACAUUUGGAGGAAGGUCCUGGCGAUAUACUUGUGUUCUUGACUGGCCAAGAAGAAAUAGAAUCUGUGGAGAGGCUUGUACAUGAGUGUCUUCCACAAUUAUCCGGAUGCAAACGAAAGCUUUUGACCUUUCCAAUAUUUUCGUCUCUUCCUUCAGAGAAACAAAUGAGAGUUUUCAAGCCUGCCCUAGUUGGGUUCCAAAAGGAACUGUCCAGUUUUUGUUGUUCAUGAACAUUCUCAUGGGACAAAUACUAUACAGGAAAAAGGUUUCUCGAUUUUGUCAGGAAGUGUUGAGUGUUGUCGUCCACCU
Molecule: long non-coding RNA, 1683 nt
Organism: Olea europaea var. sylvestris
Lineage: Eukaryota; Viridiplantae; Streptophyta; Magnoliopsida; Lamiales; Oleaceae
Exons: 6
Source: RefSeq, a predicted model, not a curated record